Molecule: microRNA precursor, 94 nt
Filed under: Canis lupus dingo (dingo)
Lineage: Eukaryota; Metazoa; Chordata; Mammalia; Carnivora; Canidae
Description: mir-8834 microRNA precursor family
Rfam family: mir-8834 microRNA precursor family
Source: Rfam by way of RNAcentral
AGGAGGAACAGCCCCAGUGGCGGGGCGGCUCUGGAAACCUGGAUUCAGCUCCGGCAGGAACUCCGUCUGCAGGGCCUGGAGGCUCCGGGCGGGG